RNAcentral lists this unclassified non-coding RNA (377 nucleotides) under plant metagenome. RNAcentral's name for it is "partial contains 5.8S ribosomal RNA, internal transcribed spacer 2, and large subunit ribosomal RNA". The stretch from base 1 to 104 matches the Rfam family "5.8S ribosomal RNA", at positions 51 to 154 of the family's 154-position model. The record is from RNAcentral.
AAAUGCGAUAAGUAAUGUGAAUUGCAGAAUUCAGUGAAUCAUCGAAUCUUUGAACGCACCUUGCGCUCCUUGGUAUUCCUUGGAGCAUGCCUGUUUGAGUAUCAUGAAAUCUUCAAAGUAAAUCUUUUGUUAACUCAAUUGGUUUCUACUUUGGUAUUGGAGGUCUUUGCAGCUUCACACCUGCUCCUCUUUGUUCAUUAGCUGGAUCUCAGUGUUAUGCUUGGUUCCACUCGGCGUGAUAAGUUAUCUAUCGCUGAGGACACUGUAAAAGGUGGCCAAGGUAAAUGCAGAUGAACCGCUUCUAAUAGUCCAUUGACUUGGACAAUACUUUUAUGAUCUGAUCUCAAAUCAGGUAGGACUACCCGCAGAACUUAAGC